CCUACGGGGGGCAGCAGUGAGGAAUAUUGGUCAAUGGACGAGAGUCUGAACCAGCCAAGUAGCGUGAAGGAUGACUGCCCUAUGGGUUGUAAACUUCUUUUAUAUGGGAAUAAAAUGUUCCACGUGUGGGAUUUUGUAUGUACCAUAUGAAUAAGGAUCGGCUAACUCCGUGCCAGCAGCCGCAGUAAUACGGAGGAUCCGAGCGUUAUCCGGAUUUAUUGGGUUUAAAGGGAGCGUAGGUGGAUUGUUAAGUCAGUUGUGAAAGUUUGCGGCUCAACCGUAAAAUUGCAGUUGAAACUGGCAGUCUUGAGUACAGUAGAGGUGGGCGGAAUUCGUGGUGUAGCGGUGAAAUGCUUAGAUAUCACGAAGAACUCCGAUUGCGAAGGCAGUUCACUGGACUGCAACUGACACUGAGGCUCGAAAGUGUGGGUAUCAAACAGGAUUAGAUACCCCUGUAGUC
This 460-nucleotide ribosomal RNA is filed under the name uncultured bacterium. RNAcentral describes it as "partial 16S ribosomal RNA". It matches the Rfam family "Bacterial small subunit ribosomal RNA", at positions 338 to 795 of the family's 1533-position model. The record is from RNAcentral.